UACGAAGGGGGCUAGCGUUGCUCGGAAUUACUGGGCGUAAAGCGCACGUAGGCGGCUUUCUAAGUCGGGGGUGAAAUCCUGGAGCUCAACUCCAGAACUGCAUUCGAUACUGGAAAGCUCGAGUCCGGGAGAGGUGAGUGGAACUGCGAGUGUAGAGGUGAAAUUCGUAGAUAUUCGCAAGAACACCAGUGGCGAAGGCGGCUCACUGGCCCGGUACUGACGCUGAGGUGCGAAAGCGUGGGGAGCAAACAGG
This 253-nucleotide ribosomal RNA is filed under the name uncultured bacterium. RNAcentral describes it as "partial 16S ribosomal RNA". It matches the Rfam family "Bacterial small subunit ribosomal RNA", at positions 524 to 776 of the family's 1533-position model. The record is from RNAcentral.